RNAcentral lists this unclassified non-coding RNA (499 nucleotides) under uncultured Glomus. RNAcentral describes it as "SSU rRNA". It matches the Rfam family "Eukaryotic small subunit ribosomal RNA", at positions 591 to 1092 of the family's 1831-position model. The record is from RNAcentral. Lineage: Eukaryota; Fungi; Glomeromycota; Glomeromycetes; Glomerales; Glomeraceae.
CCAAUAGCGUAUAUUAAAGUUGUUGCAGUUAAAAAGCUCGUAGUUGAAUUUCGGGAUCAGUACGCUGGUCGUGCCUUCGGUAUGUACUGGUGUUACUGGUUCCUACCUUCUGACGAACCGUCAUGUCAUUAAUUUGGUGUGGCGGGAAAUCAGGACUGUUACUUUGAAAAAAUUAGAGUGUUUAAAGCAGGCUCACGCUUGAAUACAUUAGCAUGGAAUAAUGAAAUAGGACGUUUGACCCUAUUUUGUUGGUUUCUAGGAUCGACGUAAUGAUUAAUAGGGAUAGUUGAGGGCAUUAGUAUUCAAUUGUCAGAGAUGAAAUUCUUGGAUUUAUUGAAGACUAACUACUGCGAAAGCAUUUGCCAAGGAUGUUUUCAUUAAUCAAGAACGAAAAUUAGGGGAUCGAAGGCGAUCAGAUACCGUCGUAGUCUUAACCAUAAACUAUGCUGACUAGGGAUCAGAUGAUGUUAUUUUUUAAUAACUCAUUCGGCGCCUUACG